UUUAGUUUUUGGAUACAAUGUUUUGACUUUUCGUCUUAUUUAAAUUUUUUUUGUGAUUAAUGUUUUUAUUGUUACUAGGUGAUAAACAUCAAUAGUAGUAUAGUACUUUAUGCAUGACUAAUCUUUUAAAUUUUUUAUACAAAUUUUUCAAAUAGGACAAAUGGUCAAAUGUUAGACACAAAAAUCGAAAAAUGAAGUUAUU
RNAcentral lists this microRNA precursor (202 nucleotides) under Oryza brachyantha (malo sina). Its description in RNAcentral is "MIR812 microRNA precursor family". It matches the Rfam family "MIR812 microRNA precursor family". Lineage: Eukaryota; Viridiplantae; Streptophyta; Magnoliopsida; Poales; Poaceae. The record is from Rfam by way of RNAcentral.